This 245-nucleotide ribosomal RNA is filed under the name uncultured bacterium. RNAcentral's name for it is "partial 16S ribosomal RNA". It matches the Rfam family "Bacterial small subunit ribosomal RNA", at positions 524 to 768 of the family's 1533-position model. The record is from RNAcentral.
GACAGAGGUGGCAAGCGUUGUUCGGAAUCACUGGGCUUAAAGGGCGCGUAGGUGGCAGUGCAAGUCUGAUGUGGAAUCCUAUGGCUUAACCAUAGAACUGCAUUGGAAACUGUGCUGCUUGAGUCAGUGAGGGGAGGGUAGAAUUCCUGGUGUAGCGGUGAAAUGCGUAGAUAUCAGGAGGAAGGCCGGUGGCGAAGGCGGCCCUCUGGCGCUGAACUGACACUGAGGCGCGAAAGCGUGGGGAG